AGUACCAAACCCCACCAAACACAAGUUUUUGCUCAGGAAACUUUCCACCAAAACCUGGGGGUGAAGGAAGAGACAUUUGGAUCUUUGGAAAAAUAUUAAACUUCAGUGAGAAAUAAGCACUAGUACGUGUUCACCCUGAAGGAAAGGCUGCCAUUUGAAAAUGCUCUGAAGAAUCAUUUUGCUGCUCUUUCAUUUUUAGUGGAGACAUGUCCUUCUGACAUCUUCAUGAGAAAUUGUGGAUGCAACUUCAUGGUACCACAGACAUUCAAGCAUUUUUACUUUAAAAACA
Anas platyrhynchos (mallard) is the source of this 289-nucleotide non-coding RNA. Lineage: Eukaryota; Metazoa; Chordata; Aves; Anseriformes; Anatidae. The record is from RefSeq and is a predicted model, not a curated record.